GACGAACGCUGGCGGCGUGCUUAACACAUGCAAGUCGAACGGAAAGGCCUCUUUCGGGGGGUACUCGAGUGGCGAACGGGUGAGUAACACGUGAGUAACCUGCCCUUGACUUUGGGAUAACUUCAGGAAACUGGGGCUAAUACCGGAUAGGAGCUCCUGCUGCAUGGUGGGGGUUGGAAAGUUUCGGCGGUUGGGGAUGGACUCGCGGCUUAUCAGCUUGUUGGUGGGGUAGUGGCUUACCAAGGCUUUGACGGGUAGCCGGCCUGAGAGGGUGACCGGCCACAUUGGGACUGAGAUACGGCCCAGACUCCGACGGGAGGCAGCAGGGGGGAAUAUUGCACAAGGGGUGGAAGCCUGAUGCAGCAACGCCGUGGGCGGGAUGACGGCCUUCGGGUUGUAAACCGCUUUCGCUCAUGACGAAGCUUUGUGUGACGGUAGUGGGUAAAGAAGCACCGGCUAACUACGUG
RNAcentral lists this ribosomal RNA (467 nucleotides) under uncultured bacterium. Its description in RNAcentral is "partial 16S ribosomal RNA". It matches the Rfam family "Bacterial small subunit ribosomal RNA", at positions 28 to 507 of the family's 1533-position model. The record is from RNAcentral.